RNAcentral lists this ribosomal RNA (253 nucleotides) under uncultured bacterium. Its description in RNAcentral is "partial 16S ribosomal RNA". It matches the Rfam family "Bacterial small subunit ribosomal RNA", at positions 524 to 776 of the family's 1533-position model. The record is from RNAcentral.
UACGUAGGGCGCGAGCGUUAAUCGGAAUUACUGGGCGUAAAGUGUGCGCAGGCGGCAGAGCAAGUCGAGUGUGAAAGCCCCGGGCUUAACUUGGGAAUUGCGCUCGAAACUACUUUGCUGGAGUGUGGCAGAGGAAGGUGGAAUUCCACGUGUAGCGGUGAAAUGCGUAGAGAUGUGGAGGAACACCAAUGGCGAAGGCAGCCUUCUGGGCCAACACUGACGCUCAUGCACGAACGCGUGGGGAGCAAACAGG